RNAcentral lists this ribosomal RNA (460 nucleotides) under uncultured bacterium. Its description in RNAcentral is "partial 16S ribosomal RNA". It matches the Rfam family "Bacterial small subunit ribosomal RNA", at positions 338 to 795 of the family's 1533-position model. The record is from RNAcentral.
CCUACGGGCGGCAGCAGUGAGGAAUAUUGGUCAAUGGGCGCGAGCCUGAACCAGCCAAGUAGCGUGAAGGAUGACUGCCCUACGGGUUGUAAACUUCUUUUAUAAAGGAAUAAAGUGAGGCACGUGUGCCUUUUUGUAUGUACUUUAUGAAUAAGGAUCGGCUAACUCCGUGCCAGCAGCCGCGGUAAUACGGAGGAUCCGAGCGUUAUCCGGAUUUAUUGGGUUUAAAGGGAGCGUAGAUUGGUUGUUAAGUCGGUUGUGAAAGUUUGCGGCUCAACCGUAAAAUUGCAAUUGAUACUGGCAGCCUUGAGUACAGUUGAGGUAGGCGGAAUUCGUGGUGUAGCAGUGAAAUGCUUAGAUAUCACGAAGAACUCCGAUUGCGAAGGCAGCUUACUAAACUGCCACUGACAUUGAUGCUCGAAGGUGUGGGUAUCGAACAGGAUUAGAUACCCUGGUAGUC